UUACUAACCUAUCGAUUUGACACAUCAAGCAUCUGUGCUGCUUUCGAUGAAUCGAAAGCAUCACUAAAAAUAUUUAUUCUCGAUAUAUAUUUUUGACCAGUGCUGCCACUUAGCCAUUAUUGCGCGCCAACUUUAAAAACAGCCAGUUAACGAGCAGCGCAAGAUGGAUAAGCAAAACCCCAAUAGGAAUAUACCCAGUUUUACGUCUGUUUGCGGCUCUCACCGCAUCUGCAGCAAAUCCAAGAUGUUAUACACGCGCCCCAAACCGGAUGUACUUCAAAGCAUAUUGCAAUCCAAGGCGAAUUCGGAAUAUAAAUCGCGUCGGUUGUGGUAUGAACUCAAUAUGCCAGAAUGCGCUAGUCAUCUGUUUGAUGGCCAAAUGCUAUCGGAUGUGCCCGAAAGUUUCACCUGUACAAAGUCGCGAACGCGUCGGCGGCAACCCGAUAAACCAGACGAUGGUGAGUACAGGAGUAAGGGAUCAUCAAAUUAUAUGGUCAUGCGGCAGGAGCGUGAGCAUUUCCGUGCCAAGCUGGUCGAGCUGAUAUUGCACAUGGAAGAUGAUCCAGAUCCCACAGCCGAGAAGUCAGAUACCUUUCCCGAUCAAAACGAACGCGAAGUCUUACGAUAUUAUUACUACAUUAAGCAUGGCAUUGACACCAUUCAUGUGUCCACCAUCAGCAAAAAGACCCUCAAGAGGAUUGAUAAUCUAGUGCCGGCCCUAUUAAAAAAAUGGGAUUCAGCAUUUGUCGAGAACAUUGCCGAGGUGCGUUCCGAUUUUGUGUUUGCCAUGAAGAAGGCUGUUGUAGAUUUUGUUCUACGCCACUCGGUACUGGACAGACUGACCCACGAGGGUAUACCAGCUACAUUUGAAACGGCAGAACGUCGGGAAAUUGGAAAGUUGAUGAGCCAUUGGCGCUAUCGUUACGAUGAGAAUCGCAAUCGCCUCAAGACGACACUUUUUUCUAUCCAUCGAAGCGUUGCCAGCAUUCUGGAAGUAUGGAGCAUGAAGUACAGCUCCAAGACCCUGGUCAAUAUCGAGGAACUUAGCAAGGUCGAAGAGCCGUUCACCCUAUUCAAUUUUGUCUAUCUGUGUGGGUCCCAUAUAGACAACGGGAAGAACAUGUUGGAGGAUGUCUGGUAUGGUGAGAUACACACGACACUGCUCAGGGCCAGUAAACGUGGACAAUUGCCGGAUAUACGUCGCAUGACAUUGGUCAAGCGCUUCUUCAAUUGUGUUGCCGCUUUGAUGACCCAACAACUGGAGGAUAUUUGCAUACGCAGCCUCAAAGCAUUCGCCGAUUAUGUUUGCGACUUUGGUAAAUCGAAUCCCGGCUUUGAAAUCUCCUGUAUAUUGGCCGAUGAGGAUACGAUUACAUUUAAUCCGGGCUUCUCGAAAAUACAAAGCGAACUGUUGCGCGUCAUUGAUUCGAUUGUGCAUUCUGUGCAGAUGUUGCCACGCAUCGAGGGUAAACUGUACACGGAUCUCAAGAUCUCCAAGAAGCUCUUUCUGACGCCCACUGUGCCGGAUAGCAUUGUGGCCGAUACAAAGAACAGGAUAUGCAUGAUGCUUGAGGAACAGCGCAUUGGACCAGAGCUGCGUUUACAGGACUUUGACGCAUUUAUUGAUCUGAUCAAUAGCGUAGAUUCGGAACGCUGUGGCCGCUUCAUGGAGGGCGACGCCUCGUUUGAGCAGUAUACGGAAAUGGUUUACGAGUACAGGGAGAAGGAAGAUCGCAUUGCGAAAGAGGUGUGGGGCAUUAUACGCAUGGGCCUCUAUGAGUUUCAUCGGGACAGUUUCAUCACUCAUCUAGAGCAAUUGGCCAGGCAAUUGCAAACGGAUCUGCUAGCUCGCAUGGUGGCCGAUCAGCAGUCACGUAUCUCGCGGCUGGGCAAGGAGUACGAUAUGAUUGCGAAGAAGGCGUUAACCGUGCCCAAGGACACGGCCGAACUAAUGGAGCUGAAGGCAUAUGUGGUGCAUGCCGAGGAGAAUCUAGUGCCGGAAAUGGAGGCGCGCCUGAAGAUCAACAUGAAUGAAAUACUAUGGCUAAUGGAUCAGACACUCUACUCGCCGCUGGAGAUUAAGAAUAAUAGCAACACCUUUCAAUGGUAUUUGAAACUGGCCUCGGUGUUUGAUCAACAUCGCCUAAUCAUUGCCGAAAAGAUGAUCGAAUACCAGGAGCUGCUCAAGAAGCGCAUCGAGAUGUUCCGUCGCGAGCUGCAAAACUAUUACGACCAGGUCCAGCUCUACGAUACUUGGGGCGACAUCAAACAGCUGUCCAAGUAUAAGAAACGUGCCGGUUUGCUGGAUCAGCGGCUGGUCAAUGCUAUGGAGACCAUCGAUCAGAUAAAUGAGGAGGAGACAGCCUACGGCUGGGAUCUGUCGCAAUAUCCGGUGCGAAAGAAGGCGCACGAUCAGUUAAAGCCAUAUAAAAAUCUAUUUGAUGCCGGUCAGGACUUUAUUGACAAGUGGGAGCUGUGGAUGUACUCGCAAGUCGGUUCCUUUGAUCCGGAUGCGAUUGAUCAGGAUGUGGCCAACUUUUAUCGCAUCAUACAGAAGCUGGAGAAGAUUAUGGGCGAGCAUCCCAUCACCAUGCAGCUCAUAUUGGAUGUGAAGGAGCAAAUUGAGCUGUUCCGCGGACAUAUGCCUAUCAUUAACACCCUGGGCAAUCCGGGCAUGAAGGCGCGCCAUUGGGAACAAGUUUCCGAAAUAAUUGGCUUCCCAAUCAAGGUGUCGCCCGAGCUGACGCUGGAGAAGAUUAUCGAAUAUCAGCUGGAUGAGUAUGUACCCAAAUUUGAGGCUAUUUCUGAGAGCGCCACCAAGGAGAACAAUCUCGAAAAGGCCAUGGUCAAAAUGGCCAACGAAUGGGAGGGCGUCGAGUUCUCCAUAUCGCCAUACAGGGAUUCUGGUACCUACAAGCUGUCUGCCGUGGAUGACAUACAGAUAAUGCUGGACGAUCAAAUCAUCAAGACGCAGACAAUGAAGAGCUCACCCUACAUCAAACCAUUCGAGGCGGACAUACUCAAGUGGGAGGCGAAGCUUAUGUUGCUGCAGGAAAUUCUGGACGAAUGGCUGCGCGUGCAGGCCACCUGGAUGUAUCUGGAGCCUAUAUUUAGCAGUCCGGAUAUUCAGCAACAAAUGCCCGAGGAGGGACGUCGCUUCAGUGCAGUAGAUAAGAUUUGGAAGGAGCUGAUGAAGCAGGUGGCCUCGGAUCCGCGUGUGAUGACCGUUGUUCAAAUUGACAAGAUGAACGACAAACUGAAGAAGGCGUACUAUCUGCUGGAGAUAAUCCAAAAGGGUCUGAAUGCUUAUUUGGAGAAGAAGCGCUUAUACUUCCCUCGCUUCUUCUUCCUGUCCAAUGAUGAACUGCUCGAGAUUCUGUCCGAAACAAAGGAUCCCACACGCGUACAGCCGCAUCUCAAGAAGUGCUUCGAGGGCAUUGGCACGCUCAACUUCAACGAGGAAUUGGAGGUUAUCGCCAUGCGUUCCUCGGAGCGUGAAGAGGUUAUUCUGGCGGAUAUCAUAUCCACGGCCAAGGCGCGUGGCCAGGUGGAAAAAUGGCUGCUGGAGCUUGAAAUCGACAUGAAGAAAAGUGUUCAUCAAAAGAUAUCCGAAGCCUUCUACAGCUACAUGAAGAUGCAGCGCAGCAUUUGGGUACUCACAUGGCCGGGUCAGUGUGUCCAGUCCAUAUCGUUGACCUAUUGGACACUGGAGAUUACCGAAUGCUUUGUCAGCGAAACGCCCAAAGAGAAUUUGGCCAAGUAUCUGCAAAAGUGCAUGAAUCAAAUUAUGAAAAUUGUCGAUCUGGUGCGCGGUGAUCUUAACACACAGAAUCGCAUAACAUUGGGCGCCUUGGUGGUACUGGAUGUCCAUGCACGCGAUGUGCUUGCCGAUAUUGUGGCCAAGGAGGUGGAAGACCUGCAGGACUUUCAGUGGCUAUGCCAGUUGCGCUAUUACUGGGAGGAGAACAACUUGGAUACGCGCAUGAUCAACUGCUCCUUGCCCUAUGGUUACGAGUAUCUGGGUAAUACGACACGACUGGUGGUCACUCCGCUGACAGAUCGUUGCUAUCGCACGCUGUUUGCCGCCUUGAAUUUGCAUUUGGGCGGCGCUCCGGAGGGUCCGGCUGGCACUGGCAAAACGGAGACUACAAAAGAUUUGGCCAAGGCCGUGGCCAAGCAAUGUGUCGUAUUUAAUUGCUCCGACGGCUUGGACUAUCUGGCGCUGGGCAAGUUCUUUAAGGGUUUGGCCUCGUGCGGCGCUUGGUCCUGCUUCGAUGAGUUCAAUCGUAUUGAUCUGGAGGUGUUGUCUGUGGUCGCACAACAGAUUCUCACCAUACAGCGUGGCAUUAACUCGGGCUUACCCACAUUGGUGUUUGAGGGCACAACCUUAACGCUGGAUCCCACUUGUGCGGUCUUCAUCACAAUGAAUCCCGGUUACGCGGGACGAUCGGAGUUGCCUGAUAAUCUAAAGGCUCUCUUCCGCUCUGUGGCUAUGAUGGUGCCGGAUUAUGCUUUAAUUUCCGAAAUUGAACUUUACUCGUAUGGUUUCCUAACGGCCAAACCGCUUUCUGUCAAGAUUGUAGCCACGUAUCGCCUGUGCUCGGAGCAGCUGAGUACCCAGUGCCAUUAUGAUUAUGGUAUGCGAGCUGUCAAAUCGGUGCUGAAGGCGGCGGGCGCCUUGAAGUUGCGCUAUCGCGAUGAGAACGAGGAUAUAUUGGUGUUGCGCUCCAUUAAGGAUGUGAAUUUGCCCAAGUUCUUGAAUCAGGAUAUACCGCUAUUCCAGGGCAUUACGUCCGAUCUGUUUCCGGGCGUCACACUGCCCGAGGCGGACUAUGUGCUCUUCAAUGAGUGCACGCAAUUGGCCUGCGACAGGCAGAACAAACAAUGCACACCGUUUGUCCUGGAGAAGGUGCAACAGCUGUACGAGAUGAUUGUGGUGCGUCAUGGUCUGAUGCUGGUGGGUUAUCCAUUUGGCGGCAAGAGCACAACUUACCGCGUGCUUGCCGAGGCUCUGGAGUGCAUGGAGAAUAAGAAUGGCUCUGAGAAUCGUGCUACAUACACUAUAAUCAAUCCGAAGGCCAUAACCAUGGGUCAGCUUUACGGCCAAUUCGAUGCUGUUUCCCAUGAGUGGAGCGAUGGCAUUUUGGCUGUCAAUUAUCGCAUCUUUGCCGUCUCCGAUACGCCCGAUCGCAAGUGGCUAAUCUUUGAUGGGCCCGUGGAUGCCAUUUGGAUUGAGAACAUGAACACUGUUCUGGAUGAUAAUAAGAAAUUGUGCCUUAUGUCUGGUGAGAUUAUACAGCUCUCGAAUACCACGAAUCUCAUAUUUGAGCCUAUGGAUCUGGAGGUGGCCUCACCGGCUACCGUUUCGCGUUGCGGCAUGAUCUACUUGGAGCCUAGCUCGCUAGGCUGGGAGCCGCUGGUGGCCUCCUGGAAGAAUACUCUGCCCGUUGCUUUUCACAGCGUAAGCAAACAGCUAAUCUCAUCGAUGAUUUCACGUUUCUGCCCGCUGCUAUUGCACGUGGUGCGAAAGGGUUUGCGCGAAAUUGCCCCCACGUCGGACACCAAUCUGAUGGUUAGUCUGAUGAAUUUCUUUGAGUGCUUCAUUGAUGAUUUCCGUGAUGAGAAAUAUGUGGCAAACAUAUCUGAUUUGGAUUUUCGCGCACAAACCGAGGGCAUCUUUCUAUUCUCAACGAUUUGGUCACUUGGCGGUUCACUGACCGCCGAGAGCCGGGAGAAAUUCAAUAUAGUCUUUCGUGCGCUUAUGGAGAAGACCUUUCCACAGAACCUAUAUGAUGCCUAUGGCGUUACAGAAGAUUUAUAUGUGGAGCCGCUGUCCAAGCCUUUCAUAUUUCCCAUACCCAAACAGGGUUCGGUCUUUGACUAUCGCUUCAUAAAGGAGGGCAAGGGCAAAUGGAAGCCCUGGCAGGAUGAUGUCAAUUCCGCACCACCGCUGCCACGCGACAUACCAGUUAAUCAGAUUAUCAUACAGACGAAUGAGAGCGUGCGCAUUGCAGCCGUUCUGGAUCUGUUGGUGCGACAUGGCAAGCCGCUGAUGCUGGUCGGACCGACGGGCACCGGCAAGAGUGUCUAUGUGAUAGAUUUUAUGCUAAAGAAAAUGGAUUUGAGUGUGUACAAGCCACUGUUGAUCAGUUUCUCGGCACAAACAUCGGCUAAUCAAACGCAGGACAUAAUCAUGUCCAAGCUGGACAAGCGGCGCAAGGGCGUCUUUGGGCCACCUCUAAAUAGUCGCUUUGUCAUCUUUGUAGAUGAUGUUUCCAUGCCACUGAAGGAGAACUAUGGCGCCCAGCCGCCCAUUGAAUUGCUGCGCAUGAUGCUGGAUCAUAUGAUGUGGUACGAUCGCAAGAAUAUUGUGCCCAUGAAAUUGAUUGAUUUGCAAAUGAUUACCGCCAUGGGUCCGCCUGCGACGGGCAAUACGGUGACGCCACGUUUUCAGCGUUUCUUCAAUGUGGUAUCCAUUGAUGACUUUAAUGAUGCGAUUAUGACCACCAUCUUUAGCAAAAUUGUGCUCUGGCAUUUGGAUGCGCGCGGCUUCUCGAAGGAGUUUGAUCCUUGCAUCGAUGAGAUUGUCAGUGCCACAUUGUCCAUUUACAAUGAUGCCAAGCUAAAUCUAUUGCCGACACCAGCUAAAUCGCAUUAUUUGUUCAAUUUGCGUGAUUUUUCGCGUGUUAUACAGGGUGUUCUGCUUUCGGUGCCGGAGGCCACGGAGGACAUGAACUCGAUGCGUAGGCUGUGGGUGCAUGAGGUUUUGCGCGUCUACGGCGAUCGUUUGGUUGAGGACGGUGAUCGUACCUGGCUAUUUGGGAAACUAUGCAGCACUGUGCAGGAAUGCUUUAAUCUCGAUGUGUCGCGUCUGUUUGCACGCUUUGUGCGUCAGGGCAAAAAACUGGAAGAGUCCGAUUUCCGACAGUUGAUCUACUGCGACUUUACCAAUCCGAAAGCGGAUACUAAGAAUUACGUUGAGGUGCAGGAUGUCGAGGAGUUGCGCAUCGUUGUGGAGGCCUAUCUAGUUGAAUAUAAUAAUAUGUCCAAGAAGCCAAUGAAUCUGGUACUUUUCCGCUUUGCAAUCGAACAUUUAUCGCGCAUAUGUCGCAUCAUAAAGCAGCCACGUAGUCAUGCUCUGCUCAUCGGUGUCGGCGGCUCCGGGCGUCAGAGCUUGACUCGUUUGGCUUCGCAUAUAUGCGACUAUGAGCUCUUUCAAGUGGAAAUAACUCGAUUGUAUGGUCCGUAUGAGUAUCAUGAGGAUAUCAAAUCCAUAUUACGUAAAAUUGGUGCCUCUGAAAUGCACGGCGUUUUCCUCUUUACGGACGUUCAGAUCAAAGACGAAUCUUUUCUGGAGGAUAUCAACAAUCUGUUAAACUCCGGCGAGGUGCCAAAUCUGUUCUCAAACGAGGAGAAAAUCGAGGUGGUCGAAAAGAUGGCACAAAUCGACAAACAGCGCGACAAGGCCGUACAAACCGAUGGCAGUCCCGUUGCCCUAUUUAACUUUUUCGUUACGACAUGCAAGGAUCAACUGCAUAUUGUGCUGGCCAUGUCGCCCAUUGGCGAUGCGCUGCGUAAUCGUAUACGAAAAUUCCCCUCGAUUGUCAAUUGUUGUACGAUUGAUUGGUUCCAGCCCUGGCCGGAGGAUGCUCUGCUCGCGGUAUCCACACGUUUCCUGGCCGAAGAGGAGCUGACUGCUCUGGAGCGCAAAACAGCCAUCGAUAUGUGCAUGGAGUUCCAUACAUCAACCCAGGAGCUGUCGACCAAGUUCUUCCUACGACUGCAUCGCUAUAACUAUGUGACGCCUACAUCCUAUCUGGAAUUGAUACAGACCUUCAAGGCAUUGCUUAGCCAAAAGAGAAACAAUAUAACCAUGAAUCGGAAUCGUUAUUUGACGGGCAUCUCGCAGCUGGAUAUUGCCGCACAGCAGGUGGCCGUCAUGCAGGAGCAGUUGCAGGCGCUGGAGCCAAAGCUGAAGGAGGCAUCUGAGAUUGUUGCCGAGCAGGUGGCCAAGGUGACGGCGGACAGUAAAAUUGCCGCUGAGCAGCGUGAAAUGGUCAAAGAGGAUGAGCAGGCGGCCAAGGUGCAGGCAGCUGUGGCCCAAGAGAUCAAAGAUGAAUGCGAUGCCAAAUUGGGUGAGGCGUUGCCCAUUCUGGAGGCCGCCUUAUCUGCCUUGAACACACUGACUACCGCUGAUAUUGCUGUGGUGAAGACCAUGAAGAGUCCGCCAAUUGGUGUGCGCAUCGUUAUGGAAGCUGUUUGCAUUCUGAAGGACGUGAAACCCGAAAAGGUGCCAAAUCCAAAUGGUGUGGGCACUGUCGAGGAUUACUGGGGUCCGUCAAAGCGUGUGCUUAGCGACAUGAAGUUCCUGGACAGUUUGCUCAACUUUGACAAGGACAACAUACCGCCAGAGGUCAUGAAGAAAUUGCAACAGCGCAUUCUCACUAAUGAGGCCUUCGAUCCCGAAAAGAUCAAGAUGGCGUCCACGGCCUGUGAAGGUCUCUGCCGCUGGGUCAUUGCUCUGUCCAAAUACGAUGUCGUUGCCAAGGUUGUGGCGCCCAAGAAAAUUGCUUUGGCUGCAGCCGAGGCCGACUACAAUGCGGCCAUGAAACUGCUCAACGAGAAGUUGGCCCAACUGGCCCGCGUCGAAGCGAAUCUGGCGGCCAUUCAAAAGAUUCUCGACGAACAGUUGCGGCAAUAUGGGAUUCUUUUAGCGGAGCAUGAAGCUUGUACAAAGAAGUUGCAGCGUGCCCAGGAGCUCAUCUCUGGCUUGGGCGGCGAGCGGACGCGUUGGUCCGAAACGGCCAAAAUGCUGCAGGGGAGCUUUAAGAGUGUAACGGGUGAUGUGCUAAUUUCGUCAGGUGUCGUUGCCUAUUUGGGACCAUUCACCAUUGAUUUUCGUGUUACGCAAAUUCGUAAAUGGGUUGCGAAGUGUCUGGAUUAUGGAGUUACCUGCUCGGCGGACUUUCAGCUGGCCAUUGUUUUGGGCGAACCGGUGGAGAUACGUUUCUGGAAUAUAUGCGGAUUGCCCACGGAUGCAUUUUCCGUUGAGAGCGCCAUCAUGAUGAAAAAUGCCCGCCGCUGGCCGCUGAUGAUUGAUCCGCAGGGACAGGCCAAUAAAUGGAUUAAGAACUAUGAGAAGAACAACAAGCUGUGCGUUAUACGUUUGAAUCAGGCGGAUUAUACGCGGGUGCUGGAGAAUGCCAUACAAUUUGGUUUGCCCGUGUUGCUGGAAAAUAUUGGCGAGGAAUUGGAUCCCAUACUGGAGGCCAUAUUGCUGAAGCAACUGUUCAAACAGGGCGGCACCAUGUGCAUUAAGCUGGGCGAUUCGGUUAUUGAAUAUAAUUACAGCUUCAGGUUCUAUAUGACAACUAAACUAAGAAAUCCCCACUAUUUGCCCGAGGUGGCGGUCAAGGUGACCUUAUUGAAUUUCAUGAUCACCACGCAGGGCUUACAGGAUCAAUUGCUGGGCAUAACCGUGGCGCGAGAACGACCUGAUUUGGAGGCGGAAAAGAAUAAUCUCAUUGUACAGGGCGCUGAGAACAAGCGUAUGCUGAAAGAGACUGAAGAUCAGAUAUUGGAGGUGCUCUCCUCGGCCGAUAAUAUAUUGGAGGAUGAAACUGCGGUGCAAAUAUUGAGCUCAGCCAAAGCUCUGGCCAAUGAUAUUAGCGAGAAGCAGAUUAUUACUGAGGCUACCGAAAAACAGAUCGAUUUGGCACGUCUCAGCUAUGUGCCCAUAGCGGAACACUCUACAAUUCUGUUCUUUACCAUAGUGGAACUGGCCAAUAUUGAUCCCAUGUAUCAGUACAGUUUGGUUUGGUUUGUCAAUCUGUAUAUGUCCUCCAUCGAUAAUACCGAAAAGGUCGAUGAUAUCGUGGCACGUCUAAAGGACUUGCGCAAUCAUUUCACCUAUAGCCUGUACGUCAACAUCUGCCGCAGUCUCUUCGAGCGUGAUAAGCUCUUGUUCUCCCUCAUAUUGAACGUCAAUCUGAUGAAGCAUGAAAAUUUGAUUGACAAUGGUGAAUGGAUGUUCCUGCUAACUGGCGGAAUUGGCCUCGAGAAUCCGUAUAAAAAUCCAACAGCCUGGCUGGGCGUACAAAAUUGGGAUGAAUGCUGCCGUUUAUCGAGCUUGUCAGCCUUUAAAGGACUACGCGAAGACGUCACUGACAAUUCGGCCUCUUGGAAGGUGUUCUUUGACUCGAAAACACCGCAGGACAAUAAGGCCAUACCAAGUGCGUGGCUAAAGCGCUUAAGCGUAUUCCAGCAAUUGUUGCUGUUGCGCGUCUUUCGACCGGAUAAACUGGUGCCAGCUGUCCUGAACUUUGUGGCCGGUGAGCUGGGUCAACGAUUCGUGGAUCCGCCGCAAUUCGAUUUGAUGGCCUCAUUUGGCGACUCCCACUGCUGUGUGCCCUUGAUAUUUAUAUUGACACCCGGCUCGGAUCCGACGGCCACGCUGUUGAAAUUUGCCGAGGAUCAGGGAUUCGGCACGAAUCGCUUGUUCUCCUUGUCGCUGGGCCAGGGACAGGGUCCCAUUGCCAUUAAGAUGAUCGACGAGGGCGUCAAGCUGGGCAAUUGGGUGGUCCUACAGAACUGUCAUUUGGCUGCAAGUUUUAUGCCAUCCUUGGAGAAGGUCUGCGAGAAUUUGCUGCCCGAUUCAACGCAUCCAGACUUUCGACUAUGGCUCACCUCAUAUCCGGCUGAGCAUUUCCCGGUUGUGGUGCUGCAGAAUGGCAUCAAAAUGACCAAUGAACCACCCAAGGGCUUGCGCUCCAAUAUAACGCGCUCCAUGCUCAGCGAUCCGAUUAGCGACCUGGAGUGGUAUGAGUCCUGCAAACAGCCGCGCAUCUUCAAGCAGCUGAUCUACUCGCUGUGCUUCUUUCAUGCUGUCAUUCAGGAGCGUCGCUACUUUGGACCAAUUGGCUGGAAUAUACCCUACGAGUUCAACGAAACGGAUCUGCGCAUCUCGUUGAUGCAGUUGCGCAUGUUCCUCAACCAGUACGAGACUGUUAAUUAUGAUGCCUUACGCUAUCUGACUGGCGAGUGUAAUUAUGGUGGACGUGUCACCGACGACUGGGAUCGUCGCACUUUGAAGACUAUACUGGAUCGCUUUUAUUGUCCGGCUGUACUCGAUUUGGAGAAACCCUACUAUUUGGAUGAGACGGGCUAUUAUUAUGUGCCCGUGUUCAAGGAUGUCGAAUUGUAUCUAACUUUUACGCGUGAACUGCCGCAAAUAUCGCCACCCUCCAUCUUUGGCUUCCAUGCGAAUGCGGAUAUUAUGAAGGAUCAACAGGAAACGGACAUGUUGCUCUCACACACACUAUUGACACAGGACACAAGCGGUUCCCAAGACGACAGCGGAGGCUCCAAGGCGCUGACGCCCGAGGAGGUGGUGACCAAUGUGGCAACCGAUAUCUUGGAUAAGCUGCCCAAACUGUUCGACCGGGAGGCUGCUCUUCUACGCUAUCCGACCAAAUAUCAUCAGAGCAUGAAUACGGUGCUGGUGCAGGAAAUGGUGCGAUUCAAUGUCCUGCUAAAUACAAUACGCACCAGUUUGAUAACGCUCAAAAAGGGUAUCAAGGGUCUGGUGGUCAUGUCCGCUGCCGUCGAGGCGGUCUACAAGUCUGUGCUGAUUGCCAAAAUACCCGCCAUGUGGGCCAGCAAGUCCUACCCCAGCCUAAAGCCACUUGGCAGCUAUGUGACGGACUUUUUGCGACGGCUCGAAUUCCUGCAGCACUGGUACGACCAUGGCGCACCUUCGACCUUCUGGCUGUCGGGUUUCUUUUUUACCCAGGCUUUCCUUACCGGCGCCCAGCAGAAUUAUGCGCGUAAAUAUGUCAUUUCCAUAGAUCUGCUGGCCUUUGAUUAUGAGGUUCUGUCGAUUGAUGAGACACGAAUCAAAGGUGUAUCUGCGCCCGACGAUGGUGUGUUUGUGUAUGGCAUCUUUCUGGAGGGCGCUUGCUGGGAUCGCCAGAACAAAUAUCUCGCCGAAUCGCGUCCACGCAUGCUCUUCGACACGAUGCCACUGAUUUGGCUGAGGCCACUGAAGCGCUCCGAUCUGCCCGAGCGGCACAAUUAUUUGUGUCCACUCUACAAGACGGCUGAGCGACGCGGCAUUCUGUCCACCACCGGACACAGCACCAACUUUGUGGUGGCCAUGCUGCUGAACUCUAAUCCAAAUACACCCAUCGCCCAUUGGAUCAUACGCGGCACGGCGCUUCUCUGCCAAUUGAGCUUCUAAAUUGCGCGGACUUUCAAGCAGGCACUUAUCGAAGAUAUUAAGGACUUGGCGCAUGAAGAUUGAUUGAAGAAACCAUUUCAAUAGAUUCUAUUGCUAUUCGUGAGUCUAUAUGUUAUAUUCAGCAACGCACUGCAACUAUCCGGGAUAAAGUUUAUUAAGUAAAUUAAUAAAAGGACCUCAAUAAAAUAAAAUUAGCAAUAAUUAUAAGUUCUACC
Drosophila novamexicana is the source of this 12453-nucleotide RNA transcript. It is a transcript of the gene named dynein heavy chain 7, axonemal, with no coding region annotated. NCBI's taxonomy places the organism in Eukaryota, Metazoa, Arthropoda, Insecta, Diptera, Drosophilidae. The transcript is spliced from 24 exons. The record is from RefSeq and is a predicted model, not a curated record.